Molecule: ribosomal RNA, 404 nt
Filed under: Actinomycetes bacterium
Lineage: Bacteria; Bacillati; Actinomycetota; Actinomycetes
Description: Actinobacteria bacterium partial 16S ribosomal RNA
Rfam family: Bacterial small subunit ribosomal RNA
Source: RNAcentral
UGGGGAAUAUUGGACAAUGGGCGCAAGCCUGAUCCAGCCAUGCCGCGUGAGUGAUGAAGGCCAUAGGGUUGUAAAGCUCUCUCACCGGUGAAGAUAAUGACGGUAACCGGAGAAGAAGCCCCGGCUAACUUCGUGCCAGCAGCCGCGGUAAUACGAAGGGGGCUAGCGUUGUUCGGAUUUACUGGGCGUAAAGCGCACGUAGGCGGACUUUUAAGUCAGGGGUGAAAUCCCGGGGCUCAACCCCGGAACUGCCUUUGAUACUGGAAGUCUUGAGUAUGGUAGAGGUGAGUGGAAUUCCGAGUGUAGAGGGGAAAUUCGUAGAUAUUCGGAGGAACACCAGUGGCGAAGGCGGCGCACUGGACCAUUACUGACGCUGAGGUGCGAAAGCGUGGGGAGCAAACAGG